UGAUAACGUGCCCACGUGAUGAGAGGAAGUGACGUCACGGCAGGCUGCCGUGGACCUUCUGAUGCUCCCUCGGAAAGAGGGUCAUCUGUUUCCGAGCCACCGUUGACCACAGUCUAACCCAAGAUACUGCUGGCUUAACUUAAGACGGGGGAACUUUCUCCGAGUAGAGUGGCAUGUCAAGAUAAAGAAGGUCGCGCCAGUCUCCGGUUCUCACACUUUAUGCAGAAGAUGGCGUAUUUUGAAAUUUCCCCGGGUUCGGGACUCGGGGUUAGGAGUGAGGAAAAACACAUCUCGUUUGCUGAACGGCCCCGCUCACUGCACACAGCCCUGCCUGCCAGGGAGAUGAGGCACCUCCAUUUCACAGUUGCGGGAAGCACGGCUCGGGCUGAUUAAGGGCGUGCCCAAGGCCAGAGACAAACACGGGUGGUAAACUGAGGUUUCUCCCCGCGUCCUCAGGCUCCUCUUUCCAGCGUACCACACUGCCUUUCUUGUAAACACGCAGCGGAUCUGAGGGUGGGACAGAGGGAAGACGAGAGACAGACGGGGUGGGCUUCUGGCUGCCUGGUUUACCAGCCUCUACUUUGAGCACCUCUAGCAACCCCCUGGUUCUUAGAGUUCUCCAGCACCAAGGAACGAGCCCAGCGUCCUCAUCUCCCAAGGGCGUGUCCGAUUCAACCACUAGCAGUCAGCAAUGUUACAGAGCAUUUACAAAAUGUAAGAAGUAGUUUAUCAGUUGUCCAAUCAGACCGUGUGGCUCUGCUCC
Molecule: long non-coding RNA, 763 nt
Organism: Lynx canadensis (Canada lynx)
Lineage: Eukaryota; Metazoa; Chordata; Mammalia; Carnivora; Felidae
Exons: 2
Source: RefSeq, a predicted model, not a curated record